RNAcentral lists this ribosomal RNA (2904 nucleotides) under Escherichia coli. Its description in RNAcentral is "23S ribosomal RNA". It matches the Rfam family "Bacterial large subunit ribosomal RNA". Lineage: Bacteria; Pseudomonadati; Pseudomonadota; Gammaproteobacteria; Enterobacterales; Enterobacteriaceae. RNAcentral also lists the same sequence under 3 other names. The record is from RNAcentral.
GGUUAAGCGACUAAGCGUACACGGUGGAUGCCCUGGCAGUCAGAGGCGAUGAAGGACGUGCUAAUCUGCGAUAAGCGUCGGUAAGGUGAUAUGAACCGUUAUAACCGGCGAUUUCCGAAUGGGGAAACCCAGUGUGAUUCGUCACACUAUCAUUAACUGAAUCCAUAGGUUAAUGAGGCGAACCGGGGGAACUGAAACAUCUAAGUACCCCGAGGAAAAGAAAUCAACCGAGAUUCCCCCAGUAGCGGCGAGCGAACGGGGAGCAGCCCAGAGCCUGAAUCAGUGUGUGUGUUAGUGGAAGCGUCUGGAAAGGCGCGCGAUACAGGGUGACAGCCCCGUACACAAAAAUGCACAUAUUGUGAGCUCGAUGAGUAGGGCGGGACACGUGGUAUCCUGUCUGAAUAUGGGGGGCCCAUCCUCCAAGGCUAAAUACUCCUGACUGACCGAUAGUGAACCAGUACCGUGAGGGAAAGGCGAAAAGAACCCCGGCGAGGGGAGUGAAAAAGAACCUGAAACCGUGUACGUACAAGCAGUGGGAGCACGCUUAGGCGUGUGACUGCGUACCUUUUGUAUAAUGGGUCAGCGACUUAUAUUCUGUAGCAAGGUUAACCGAAUAGGGGAGCCGAAGGGAAACCGAGUCUUAACUGGGCGUUAAGUUGCAGGGUAUAGACCCGAAACCCGGUGAUCUAGCCAUGGGCAGGUUGAAGGUUGGGUAACACUAACUGGAGGACCGAACCGACUAAUGUUGAAAAAUUAGCGGAUGACUUGUGGCUGGGGGUGAAAGGCCAAUCAAACCGGGAGAUAGCUGGUUCUCCCCGAAAGCUAUUUAGGUAGCGCCUCGUGAAUUCAUCUCCGGGGGUAGAGCACUGUUUCGGCAAGGGGGUCAUCCCGACUUACCAACCCGAUGCAAACUGCGAAUACCGGAGAAUGUUAUCACGGGAGACACACGGCGGGUGCUAACGUCCGUCGUGAAGAGGGAAACAACCCAGACCGCCAGCUAAGGUCCCAAAGUCAUGGUUAAGUGGGAAACGAUGUGGGAAGGCCCAGACAGCCAGGAUGUUGGCUUAGAAGCAGCCAUCAUUUAAAGAAAGCGUAAUAGCUCACUGGUCGAGUCGGCCUGCGCGGAAGAUGUAACGGGGCUAAACCAUGCACCGAAGCUGCGGCAGCGACGCUUAUGCGUUGUUGGGUAGGGGAGCGUUCUGUAAGCCUGCGAAGGUGUGCUGUGAGGCAUGCUGGAGGUAUCAGAAGUGCGAAUGCUGACAUAAGUAACGAUAAAGCGGGUGAAAAGCCCGCUCGCCGGAAGACCAAGGGUUCCUGUCCAACGUUAAUCGGGGCAGGGUGAGUCGACCCCUAAGGCGAGGCCGAAAGGCGUAGUCGAUGGGAAACAGGUUAAUAUUCCUGUACUUGGUGUUACUGCGAAGGGGGGACGGAGAAGGCUAUGUUGGCCGGGCGACGGUUGUCCCGGUUUAAGCGUGUAGGCUGGUUUUCCAGGCAAAUCCGGAAAAUCAAGGCUGAGGCGUGAUGACGAGGCACUACGGUGCUGAAGCAACAAAUGCCCUGCUUCCAGGAAAAGCCUCUAAGCAUCAGGUAACAUCAAAUCGUACCCCAAACCGACACAGGUGGUCAGGUAGAGAAUACCAAGGCGCUUGAGAGAACUCGGGUGAAGGAACUAGGCAAAAUGGUGCCGUAACUUCGGGAGAAGGCACGCUGAUAUGUAGGUGAAGUCCCUUGCGGAUGGAGCUGAAAUCAGUCGAAGAUACCAGCUGGCUGCAACUGUUUAUUAAAAACACAGCACUGUGCAAACACGAAAGUGGACGUAUACGGUGUGACGCCUGCCCGGUGCCGGAAGGUUAAUUGAUGGGGUCAGCGCAAGCGAAGCUCUUGAUCGAAGCCCCGGUAAACGGCGGCCGUAACUAUAACGGUCCUAAGGUAGCGAAAUUCCUUGUCGGGUAAGUUCCGACCUGCACGAAUGGCGUAAUGAUGGCCAGGCUGUCUCCACCCGAGACUCAGUGAAAUUGAACUCGCUGUGAAGAUGCAGUGUACCCGCGGCAAGACGGAAAGACCCCGUGAACCUUUACUAUAGCUUGACACUGAACAUUGAGCCUUGAUGUGUAGGAUAGGUGGGAGGCUUUGAAGUGUGGACGCCAGUCUGCAUGGAGCCGGCCUUGAAAUACCACCCUUUAAUGUUUGAUGUUCUAACGUGGACCCGUGAUCCGGGUUGCGGACAGUGUCUGGUGGGUAGUUUGACUGGGGCGGUCUCCUCCUAAAGAGUAACGGAGGAGCACGAAGGUUGGCUAAUCCUGGUCGGACAUCAGGAGGUUAGUGCAAUGGCAUAAGCCAGCUUGACUGCGAGCGUGACGGCGCGAGCAGGUGCGAAAGCAGGUCAUAGUGAUCCGGUGGUUCUGAAUGGAAGGGCCAUCGCUCAACGGAUAAAAGGUACUCCGGGGAUAACAGGCUGAUACCGCCCAAGAGUUCAUAUCGACGGCGGUGUUUGGCACCUCGAUGUCGGCUCAUCACAUCCUGGGGCUGAAGUAGGUCCCAAGGGUAUGGCUGUUCGCCAUUUAAAGUGGUACGCGAGCUGGGUUUAGAACGUCGUGAGACAGUUCGGUCCCUAUCUGCCGUGGGCGCUGGAGAACUGAGGGGGGCUGCUCCUAGUACGAGAGGACCGGAGUGGACGCAUCACUGGUGUUCGGGUUGUCAUGCCAAUGGCACUGCCCGGUAGCUAAAUGCGGAAGAGAUAAGUGCUGAAAGCAUCUAAGCACGAAACUUGCCCCGAGAUGAGUUCUCCCUGACCCUUUAAGGGUCCUGAAGGAACGUUGAAGACGACGACGUUGAUAGGCCGGGUGUGUAAGCGCAGCGAUGCGUUGAGCUAACCGGUACUAAUGAACCGUGAGGCUUAACCUU